This 406-nucleotide ribosomal RNA is filed under the name uncultured bacterium. Its description in RNAcentral is "partial 16S ribosomal RNA". It matches the Rfam family "Bacterial small subunit ribosomal RNA", at positions 30 to 526 of the family's 1533-position model. The record is from RNAcentral.
AUUGAACGCUGGCGGCAGGCCUAACACAUGCAAGUCGAACGAGUGGCGGACGGGUGAGUAAUGUCUGUGGAUCUGCCUGAUAGAGGGGGAUAACUACUGGAAACGGUGGCUAAUCCCGCAUACUAUCGGAUGUACCCAUAUGGGAUUAGCUUGUUGGUGGGGUAAAGGCUCACCUAGGCGACGAUCCCUAGCUGGUCUGAGAGGAUGAUCGGCCACACUGGGACUGAGACACGGCCCAGACUCCUACGGGAGGCAGCAGUGGGGAAUAUUGGACAAUGGGCGCAAGCCUGAUGCAGCCAUGCCGCGUGUAUGAAGAAGGCCUUAGGGUUGUAAAGUACUUUCAGCGGGGAGGCGUUACCCGCAGAAGAAGCACCGGCUAACUCCGUGCCAGCAGCCGCGGUAAUUC